UAUUACAUUUUGGUCAAAUUUAGGUCGAUUUUGAUCACAAAUUAGCUCAAAGGGAUCAUCGGUAGGCCCAUUUUAAAUCCUGUGGUGUUUCAUUAUGAUUUAAUAACUUUCAAAUUUGACCACUCAUGUCACAGGUUGCUAACCAUAUUCAGGGAAACACCCACAUACAACAUUUAUGCAACAUAUGACAUAUAGCAAAAUUACAUAUGUUGGACUAUGGUGGUAUUAGACUAUGGUGGUAUUCUCAAAGGUUGACAAUGUUUCACUGCAUUGUAAUUGACCAUCUCUUUCUACUUAGUUGGAGGUGUAGAUAUACUUUGUCCUAUAGAUAAAACAUUAACCAAGGCUUCAGGACUUGCCCUCUCUGGUAGAUGGAAAAGAUUCCACGGAGCAAUUCUGAAAAACAAAACCAUAUUUCCAUUGUUGACAGAAAUGCUGGAGAAACUCAGAGGGUGAAGCAGCAUUUAUGGAGCAAAAGAAAUAGGCAACGUUUCGGGCCGAAACCCUUCUUUUUGUAUUCCAUCACAUACAAAAUGACAGGCUAUUUAGUUAUUAUUACUGUCUGAGGGAUUUCACGCAAUUGGAUGCCACAAUUCCUACAUUAUUACAUGACUAUGCUUUAAAAAAAAUCAAUUGGCUAUAAAGCAACCCAGGAUAUAUUAAAAGAACCCUUUUUUUCUGAAUGAUGUGGGUUAACAAGACUGCUGACCAAGACUCACAAUAAAGUAAGUUAAAAUCAUUGGUCUCUCUUAUGAUAGGCUUUACAAUCCUGAUUCUGCACAGACACAUGGUUCUAAAAGAGUCUUUCAGGGUAGAAGUAGCUCAGCAGGUCAUGCACCAUCUUAGGAGAACAUGGAUAGGUGACAUUUUGAGUCGGGACUGUUCUUCACUCUGUGCCUCCAUGGCACCCAACUUCCCAAAUGAGUUGAAUGUUUUUAUUUCCAACAUGUGCGGUUUAAAAAAAAAAUUGUGAUGUAUUUCAUGCGUCCUAACUAUAUCCCAGGAUUGAAUGACUUUACGAGUUGUGUGCCGUGUAGGUGUGUGGCCCCUAUCCUGCAGACAGAAAGGAGAAGGUUGUUCUUCUGAGCAGGGGGAUAAUUGACGGAGGCAGGCAAGCAGAUAAGCAGUUUAACUGUACAAAGGGAUGCUGAUUGAUGGAGGUCUAAGAAUGAAUUGAGAAGGGGACUGCGGAAGUUGUUUUCCCCAAGGGCAAAUAACGCAAGGGGUGGAACUGGCAGAGAGUGGAGAGAUGUGGUUGGGAAGGGAGCUGAGGAAGUGGUCAGAGAUAGUCUUGUUAAAUCAGGCAGAUAAUAGCCCGGAUAAUAAAAGUAGAUGCAAUUAAUUUCAGCUGAUUGCUUCAUUUUUGUCAUUACUGUUAUUAAUCAUUUAGAAAAUUGCUGUUUUGGCUACAUUGGGCAAAAAUUAGACUAAAAACUGAGAAAGGAAAUAAUGAAUAGAAACCCGCAUGCUAAAGAUCAUGGCUUUUGUGCAAUCUGAUAUCCAACCAUACCCUGGGUAACGUGACUUGCCAGAGGCAAGAUUGUGACAGUGAAACUGUUUCUAUUUAUAUCAAGUUAUUUCAAUGGUUCGGCAACGUUGUUUUUGAUCCUUGCUCACCAGGCUACUGACCGAGGAUGUAAUGAAAGGCAUUUCUGUUCCUUCAUUCGUUCACAUGAAUCUCGUUCAUUUAGCCUAGAUCCUCAGGAAACAACCAGAUGUUUUUUGUUAAUAGGAUCCUUUCCCUCCUUUCAACCAGGGCAGUCCUGAAUUUACUCAUGAGCAAAGUAUCUACAAAAGAAAGUAACUGAAGUACGACUGAUUUGUGACUAAUAGAAAACCACUUUAAUAGCAGACAACUGGCUUGUGGCUUGUUCAUAAGUUAAAUGAGGAAAAUUUAAUUGAACACUGCUCAUUCUCCUACCUUCGUCAUUUGAGGGCAGCCAGGUAAUCAGUUCUGAAUGCUCUCCUGUCUUCGACCAUGUUCUGACCGGGUGAAUUAGUCCGAAGAAGGGUCCCGAAUGGAAACGUCAUGUCAUCCAGAGACGUUGCCUGACUUGUUGGGUUACUCCAGCACUUUGCACUUUUUUUUUCUAAACCAGCAUCUGCAGUUCCUUGUGUCUAAUGUUUUGAAGUUCAGCUUUUCAGGUCUUGCUUUAUGUUGAGUCAAAUGAUCAAAUUAUAGCCACAAAUAUACUGGAGUAAUGCAGCGGGACUGGCAGCGUCUCUGGAGAGAAAGAAUGGGUGACAUUUCGGUUGAGACCCUUUUACAGAUAAAGUGAUAAAAGGGUUUAGAGAUAACUCAAAUAUUAGCACUGUUUCUUCUCCUGAGAUGCUGCCAGACCUGAUGCACCCUGUAGGCUCCGAAGGAGAUGUCAGAGAGCUUUGCAUAAUUAUUUUUGUACGUGUGGGAUUUGAAGCUCAGUCACAAAUAUAUACUUUUAUGAUGAUAUAUAGAAGUCAUAUUGCAAAGAUGAAAAAUCUGUUGCUGUAACAAAAAUGUUCCACCAUAAUACACAUUUAUUGUAACUACAACAGGUAUUCUAGGUAUUUUACAGGAGUGUCAUCAAACAAUAGAAAGGUGCUGUGCUAUAUAUUAGGACUGAUAAAAGAUUAGUUCAAUGAGGCAGGUUUUAAGGAGUGCCUUAAAGGAGGCGGAGAGGUUAGGGAAGGAAUAUCAGAGCUCAGUGCCUGGGUUGUUGAAGGCACAGCAAUCAUUGAUGGAGCAAUUCAAUUCAGGGGCAAUCAGAAGCUCAGAAGCAGAGGAACAUAGCAUCUCAUUGAACUCCAAGGCUGGAAGAGAUUACAGAGUGUAAUUGGCGGAGAGUUCUCUCGCAUUUCUCUUUACGGGAUUACAGCCAAGCAGAAGCUAUGAAUUAUUUUAUUUAUCUUUGCCUUCAGUAAGAAUUGUCCAGUCUCAUUACUAAAAAAAGAUUUUGAUGGCUCUCAGCAGGAACAGGAGCUCGCUCGUUUAAUCAGACCAAACGCAACAGAACUCUCUGAGGGCAGUUCUCUGAAGAUAAAAACAACAAAAGGUUGGCUUGUGCACUUUCCAAUGCCAGCAGCUCUGCGCAGUUGGACACAGAUAAAAACCUCACUGUGACAGUCAGUCAAUGGCUCCUGUGGAGUUCAGACAUUAAUUUAUUUGAUAGCGCUUGCAGCUUUUUAUUAUCCAGUUAAAGAUGGCAAAUAUCUUACAUGGCUAGAUCUGGGAUUUGAUAUUUGCUAUGAUUAACAGCAGCCGCACUUCAUAAUCCAUGGCAAAGUGCAGGAAAUUCACCGGGGGGGUCAUCUGGACUUUAUGCAAUAGAGCAGAACAAAUCGCAGCCGGUUUUAUAUCUCCCUGCGUUUUUGUUUCCAUUUCAGUCAAUCGUAAUAAAAUAAAGAGAGAUGUAAAAUUGGCUUCUGACUUGCUCUGAGCCGCUCAACACUAAUAUGCAUUAUUCCCAUGGUGACGGAGUGUGGUGACAUUUUGCCAGCAGCCAGAACAGGUUUAAGAUUAAAUAUCGUUGUUUUGAACUUCUGAAGCUAAAAGUAACAGCACAAAUCAGUGUUUCAACAGACGGGCUUCUAUUCCAUUUAAAUGGAUUAACGCUACUGUGAACUCUCGAUGGCAAUGGAGUUCCUGAUGGCAGGGGAAUCCCCGACCCCGUGGCCUACAUAAACCAUGAGUGCACUACUUGGAAUUGCCGGGGAUACCACCAUUGAGCCCGGGAACGUGGUCGUCGGGGAGGCCUGAUAAUAAGAAUGAAGCUAAACACAAAAGAUGUAGUAACUCGAACCAUCCUACCACAACUCGUCAACAGACCUGAACUACUAUCUACCUCAUUGGAGACCCUCAGACUAUCUCUGAUCAGAUUGUACUAACUUUAUCUUGCACUAUACAUUAUUCACGUUAUUAUCUUCAUCAUGUAUCUGUACACUGUAAAUGGCUCGAUUGUAAUCAUGUUUUGUCACUCCGCUGACUGGUUAGCACGCAACAAAAGCUGUUCACUGUACCUCGAUACAUGUGACAAUAAACUAAACUGAACUAAACUGACUUAGCGGGUUAGGCAGCAUCUCUGGGGAAAAGGAAUAGGUGACGUUUCGGGUCAAGACCUUUCUGAGGGUUUCCCAAUCCAGCUCACAGACCAGAUGCUGUCAUCUGGAAAAAUGAAAAGAUGUCACUGUGAGCCUCAUGGUAAACUCUUCAUGGUGUCAGAUGUAGUAAUCUUGUCCAACUCCUGCCAGGAUCAUUUACCAGUGAAGUGGUGUCCCUUCGACACCCGGGGCGGGCGAUGCACCUCCAUCGUCGUGAAUGCGGUCUACAUCCCGCCCAAGGCAGAUGUCCGGUUAUCACUGGGAGAGCUGCAGGCCCUGGUCAAGAAACACCAAAUGGCAUACCCCGACACCUCUUCCAUCAUAGUCAAGGCUUCAGCAAGGCUAGUUUGAAGAAGUUGCUUCCUAACUACCACCUGCACAUGGCUUGCUGCACUAGAGGGUCAAAUGUCAUUGUCCACUGUUACUCACCAUCAAAGAUGCCUCAGCACCAGCAGUGAGGACAGCACAGAGCUUUUCAAGGAGAGUUCUGCGACUGCUUGAUGCCAAUAGAUUGAGCGAUGUUCAAGGACUCGGCAAUGUACCAGCACGAAUAAGCCCCGUUUGUUACUACCUCCAUUAGGGAACACGUGGAAACUAUCUUCCUACCAAGAUCAUCUGAGUAGAAACAAGGAACUACAGAUGCGGGUUUACCAAGGAAAAACUAAAAAUGCUGGAGUAACUGAAAUUUAAUGUAAUUUCACCGUCUUGAUCAAGUCAAAUAGUGAUUUUACACCUGUGGAGUGAAUCACAUUUCCAGCCACAUCAUGCCCAUAACCUACUCUACUUUCAGCUGAACAAGCUGUAUAAAAUCUGUCUGAAGAAGGGUUUCCUGGGUUUCACUGAAGAAACCAGUCUGAAGAAGGGUUUCGGCCCGAAACGUUGCCUAUUUCCUUCGCUCCAUAGAUGCUGCCGCACCCGCUGACUUUCUCCAGCUUCUUUGUGUACCUUCGAUUCUCCAGCAUCUGCAGUUCCUUCUUAAACAAUAAGCUGUAUAAAAUGCUUUACUCACUCUAUAACCAUGACUGCAUUCUGACUGGUUGCAUUGUGGCCUGGUUCAGCAACUUGAACGUCCAGGAGCGAAAAAGACUACAAAAAGUUGUGACCACUGCCCAGUCCAUCACCGGCUUUGACUGUUGAAGGAAUCUAACAUAGUCGCUGCCUCAAGUAUGUAGCCAAAAUCAUCAAGGACCCACACCAUCCUGACCACACACUUAUCUCACCACUGCCAUCAGGAAGAAGGUACAGGAUCCUAAAGACUGUAACGUCCAGGUUCUGGAACAGCUUCUUCCCCACAGCCAUCAGGCUAUUAAACACAACGAAUAAGCUAUGAGCUUAUAACAAUAUAAUAAUAUAUUAUUAUUUGUGAUUUGCACUAUAUUUGUUAUUUAUUGAACUUUUUUUUUUUUUUACCCCAUUAUAUACAAUGUUUACAUAUUCACAUAUUCUGUUGUGCUGCAGCAAGUAAGAAUUUCAUUGUCCCAUCCAGGACAUAUGACAAUAAAACACUCUUACUCUU
Long non-coding RNA from Leucoraja erinaceus (little skate), 5593 nucleotides. RefSeq lists it as uncharacterized. Lineage: Eukaryota; Metazoa; Chordata; Chondrichthyes; Rajiformes; Rajidae. The transcript is spliced from 2 exons. The record is from RefSeq and is a predicted model, not a curated record.